Molecule: ribosomal RNA, 1266 nt
Filed under: human gut metagenome
Description: bacterial LSU rRNA
Rfam family: Bacterial large subunit ribosomal RNA
Source: RNAcentral
UAUGGAAAAGCAAAUGUAGGCAUGAGUAACGAUAAUGCGGGAGAGUAACCCGCACACCGCAAGACCAAGGUUUCCUGAUCAACGCUAAUCGGAUCAGGGUUAGUCGGGUCCUAAGGGUAAGCCGAACGGCGAUCUCGAUGGAUAAUCGGUUAAUAUUCCGAUACUAACAUAUACCUCGAUGGAGAGACGAAGGAACGUAAGUGCCGCCACCUGACGGAAUAGGUGGUUAAAGGGCGUAGGUAUAGGGGCAGAUUAAGAGUUAGUCCUUGCUGAAACCUGACAGUACAGAGAGCCUACGGGCAAUUUGAUAGAGCACCCAAGUCGACUUCCGAGAAAAUCUUCUAAGUUAUAGUAUAUGUUACCCGUACCGUAAACCGACACAGGUGGUCGAGGAGAGUAUCCUAAGGUGCUCGAGUGAAUCACGGUUAAGGAACUAGGCAAAUUAACCCCGUAACUUCGGGAAAAGGGGUCCCUAUGAAAGUAGGGCGCAGCGAAGAGGUCCAGGCGACUGUUUAUCAAAAACACAGGGCUCUGCAAAUUCGAAAGAAGACGUAUAGGGCCUGACACCUGCCCGGUGCUGGAAGGUUAAGAGGGGAUGUCAUCGCAAGAGAAGCAUUGAAUCGAAGCCCCAGUAAACGGCGGCCGUAACUAUAACGGUCCUAAGGUAGCGAAAUUCCUUGUCGGGUAAGUUCCGACCUGCACGAAUGGUGUAACGAUCUGGACACUGUCUCAACCGUGAGCUCGGUGAAAUUGUAGUCCCGGUGAUGAUGCCGGGUACCCGCAACGGGACGAAAAGACCCCGUGAACCUUUACUAUAGCUUAACGCUGAAUUUGGGUACACAAUGUGUAGGAUAGGCCGGAGACAUUGAAGCGGGUACGCCAGUAUUCGUGGAGUCAACGUUGAAAUACGGCCCUUUGUGUAUUUGAGUUCUAACCCUGCGAAGGGGACACCGUUUGGUGGGUAGUUUGACUGGGGUGGUCGCCUCCAAAAGCGUAACGGAGGCUUCCCAAGGUACCCUCAGCACGAAUGGUAACCGUGCGCGGAGUGCAAUAGCAUAAGGGUGCUUGACUGUGAGACAUACAAGUCGACCAGGUACGAAAGUAGGGUAUAGUGAUCCGGUGGUUCUGCGUGGACUGGCCAUCGCUCAAAGGAUAAAAGGUACUCCGGGGAUAACAGGCUGAUCGCCGCCAAGAGCUCAUAUCGACGCGGCGGUUUGGCACCUCGAUGUCGGCUCGUCACAUCCUGGGGCUGGAGAAGGUCCCAAG